Long non-coding RNA from Arabidopsis lyrata subsp. lyrata, 242 nucleotides. RefSeq lists it as uncharacterized. Lineage: Eukaryota; Viridiplantae; Streptophyta; Magnoliopsida; Brassicales; Brassicaceae. The record is from RefSeq and is a predicted model, not a curated record. The transcript is spliced from 3 exons.
AAAUUCCUCUCUUGGAAUACGUUUAUGGUAGGUCACUUUUUGAACCACGAUCUAAAUGCUUUGAAGAUGGAUCAUGCAAGAAAAAUUGAUACUUCACUUGUGUUUAAGUAUGAGUAUUCCGGCGGUCCGAGCAAGCCUCCAAGGCCCUCUUUCGAUAAUCUGUGCAAGUCUAUAUUUGGAUAUCAAGUGCAGGGAGCCCCCCACAAGGCAAACGCUGUCAUGCAACUUGUUCUUGCUAUAGU